RNAcentral lists this long non-coding RNA (516 nucleotides) under Homo sapiens (human). RNAcentral's name for it is "HSALNT0202906". Lineage: Eukaryota; Metazoa; Chordata; Mammalia; Primates; Hominidae. The record is from RNAcentral.
GAACGAACUCUGAAACCAGCCGGCCACUCCUCUCUGGCCCGAGCAGGCUCUGUGUGCGCCCUGCAGCAGUGUCCAAGCCCCCGCCCUCUUGGCACUUGGGUUCUUGUUCUGCGUCCAGGAAGAAUUAGAUCACAUGAAGGGAUUAAAAGACUUACCUCUCUUUGAAAACAGAAGAUUGAGACUGAUUUAUUGGUAUGGAUAAUACAAAAGCAAACUACUCAAUUCCUCCACAUCUUAGGGGAUUGGCUUUGGAUUAGAGGUGCCAGAAGGUCGGUAUACAAUUUCUGUAAGGUUAUUAUUCUAAACAUAUUUUUGGAUGAUUAUUGUGUGUUAGGUGCUGAGACAGAUAUAAGGAUAAAUGAAGAAUUUUUUCCCUUGUACAAUACAGUAAUUUUUGAAUUCCAGCUGUUAUUAGUACUUGUGUAUGUCUCUAACAGAAGUCACCUCUCGUUCUGUACAUAUUUCUGAAACUCACUCACCACUGAUAAAUUAACAGUAAGCACUUGAUAUUCCUUC